Molecule: ribosomal RNA, 253 nt
Filed under: uncultured Microcoleus sp.
Lineage: Bacteria; Bacillati; Cyanobacteriota; Cyanophyceae; Oscillatoriales; Microcoleaceae
Description: partial 16S ribosomal RNA
Rfam family: Bacterial small subunit ribosomal RNA
Source: RNAcentral
UACGGAGGAGGCAAGCGUUAUCCGGAAUUAUUGGGCGUAAAGCGUCCGCAGGUGGCUUGUCAAGUCUGCUGUCAAAGGUCAAGGCUUAACCUUGAAAAGGCAGUGGAAACUGACAAGCUAGAGGGCUCUAGGGGUAGAGGGAAUUCCCGGUGUAGCGGUGAAAUGCGUAGAGAUCGGGAAGAACAUCGGUGGCGAAAGCGCUCUACUGGAGAGCAACUGACACUCAGGGACGAAAGCUAGGGGAGCGAAUGGG